AAGUCAUAACAACGUUUCCAUAGGUGAACCUGUGGAAGGAUCAUUAUCAAAGUCUCCACCUCUUUUUCUCUUUGCCUUCAGCUCAUGGCUUCAUGUUAUAGGAAGCUGCUGAAGGUGAAUGGAUAGCGUGCACCACAUUGUAGUAGAUCAUUGACCAUUUGCUGUGUGCGGGUCUACUACCCCUCCUUUCUGUCAUCAACUAAAACCGGUCAUUGUAUGUUGGUGGGCACUUUGCCCUUUAAUAUCUGAAUAUAUAACUUUCAACAACGGAUCUCUUGGCUCUC
RNAcentral lists this unclassified non-coding RNA (284 nucleotides) under fungal sp. RNAcentral's name for it is "partial internal transcribed spacer region". The stretch from base 1 to 46 matches the Rfam family "Eukaryotic small subunit ribosomal RNA", at positions 1786 to 1831 of the family's 1831-position model. Lineage: Eukaryota; Fungi. The record is from RNAcentral.